ACGCACGCUGGCGGCGUGCUUAACCCAUGCAAGUCGAACGCUGAAGCACCAGCUUGCUGGUGUGGAUGAGUGGCGAACGGGUGAGUAAUACGUGAGUAACCUGCCCUUGACUCUGGGAUAAGCCCGGGAAACUGGGUCUAAUACUGGAUGCUACAUGUCACCGCAUGGUGGUGUGUGGAAAGGGUUUACUGGUCUUGGAUGGGCUCACGGCCUAUCAGCUUGUUGGUGAGGUAAUGGCUCACCAAGGCGACGACGGGUAGCCGGCCUGAGAGGGUGACCGGCCACACUGGGACUGAGACACGGCCCAGACUCCUACGGGAGGCAGCAGUGGGGAAUAUUGCACAAUGGGCGAAAGCCUGAUGCAGCGACGCCGCGGGAGGGAUGACGGCCUUCGGGUUGUAAACCUCUUUCAGCAGGGAAGAAGCCACAAGUGACGGUACCUGCAGAAGAAGCGCCGGCUAACUACGUG
RNAcentral lists this ribosomal RNA (469 nucleotides) under uncultured bacterium. Its description in RNAcentral is "partial 16S ribosomal RNA". It matches the Rfam family "Bacterial small subunit ribosomal RNA", at positions 29 to 507 of the family's 1533-position model. The record is from RNAcentral.